Leucoraja erinaceus (little skate) is the source of this 1948-nucleotide RNA transcript. It is a transcript of the gene named RNA-binding protein 4B-like, with no coding region annotated. The record is from RefSeq and is a predicted model, not a curated record. Lineage: Eukaryota; Metazoa; Chordata; Chondrichthyes; Rajiformes; Rajidae. The transcript is spliced from 5 exons.
GCGGGACGACGGGGGAUGCCGCCAUUUUAUAUCGCAGCGAGAGAGAGAUAGAGAGACGGGCGUCGCCGGGGCUUCACUCACCUUCACGCUCCCUCCCUUGUUAAUUACUCCUCCACCUCCUCCUCCACCACCUUCUUCUUCAACUUCUCCGACGCAGUAGAAGAAGAAGAAGGCGGCGGCGGCGACGACGACAACGACGACGGUCCAAACAUUCUCGGCGUAAAGGAGCAGGGAGCGGAGGGGCAGCGAGCCGACAUGGUGAAGAUCUUCGUGGGGAACCUGCCGCGCCCGACCACGGCCGAGGAGAUCCGCGCUCUGUUCGAGAAAUACGGUGACGUCAGCGAGUGUGACCUCAUCAAGAACUAUGGGUUUGUGCACAUGGACAACAAGGAGGCGGCGAAGGAGGCGAUCGAGCACCUGCACCACUACAAGCUGCACGGGGUCACCAUCAAUGUGGAGGCUAGCAAGAGCAUGACCAAGUCGUCCACCAAGCUACACGUGGGCAAGGUCAGCCCGCUCUGCACCAGCCAGGAUCUGCAGGCCAAGUUCGAGGAGUACGGGGCCGUGCUCGAGUGCGACAUCAUCAAGGACUACGCCUUCGUGCACAUGGAGAGGGGCGACGACGCCAUGGCCGCCAUCAAGGGGCUCGACGGCACCCAACUCAAAGGCAAGCGCAUCCACGUGGAGCUGUCCAAGAGCCGGCUGCGGGUGCAGCCAGGCAUGGGGGAGAAGAACACCUGCUUCCGCUGCGGAAAGGACGGCCACUGGUCCAAGGAGUGUCCGACUGACCGUUCCGACGUGGGCAUGAGCAUUCCUGCCCACUACCUUGACGCUUACACCAUGUCGGGCCGGUACGGGGAGCAGGCGUUCUACGAUAGCCGCUACGUGGACUACUACGAGAAGUACCGGGCGGGGGCGUACGGGGCGGUGGGCACUCCCUACCCGGACCGCUGGGGCGCCCAACUGGGGGGCUACGGCGCCAGCCUGCGGGAACGCAAGGCCCUGGAGGCCUACGGGCAGAGCGCCAUCUCCCAGCCGCCCACCUACUACGCCCGCGAUCGCAGCCCGCUGCGCCGCUCCGUGGUCUCCAACGUCACCGACUACGCCACGGCGGCUACCGAGUACGCAGCGGCCGCCACUGCCUCGGCCACCGCCAGUGACUACGCCGCCCAGGCUGCCAGCUACGCUGCCCAGGACUACGCCGGGGCCGGGUACGCCGGAUAUGCUGCCCAGUCGGCUGCCGCAGACUAUGCCGGCGGCAGCUACACGGCCGCAGACUACGCCGGCGCCUACGGCUACGACUACUCCGGGGCGGCCUCCAACAGCGCGGGUUACGGUGCUGCCGGAGCCACCGCAGACGCCUACGUGGGACAGGCGCAGUACUCUGCCUACUAAUCACAGGAAGGAGAGGAGAAUGCAGGAGCUUCCCUGCCCCCACACACCUGCACUGUUGGACGGUGCCUCUCCUCCCACUGGCCGGGCUCGCUCCAGGUCUCCUCCCCGGCCAAACCCGCCUCCUGCUUCGAUUUGGUAAUACCUGUUGGUGAGAUCACGGCUGCUCCACACACAAACUCGGCUCGGACCUUGUGCAGAGUACCCACACCAUCGAGAUUUAGCACAGAGAACUCCGGGGACAAUACUAUCUGUAGAUGUGAAAUGUUGGUGUUUUUCUUUCAAAAAUACUAGCAGAAAAAAGUCGAUUUUCUUUCUAAUUCCCCCUCCCCCACCCACCCCAAUAUGAUCUGUGACUGUUCUGGGUUUUAUUUGAAGCUAUUUGUUACUCAUUUUUAAAAAAAUAAAGAUUUUCUUUUGGUUUUUGUGUUGUUGGUAAAUGUUGUGUGGUGGUGGAAGUCUCUAUAAAAGGGAGCGACUCCUGAAUGUAGACCUGAUGGUGACCACAAAUCCCCCCCCCUCCCUGUAGCACCCUGCAAUAAACGAUGAGUAUUUG